Molecule: ribosomal RNA, 229 nt
Filed under: uncultured bacterium
Lineage: Bacteria
Description: partial 16S ribosomal RNA
Rfam family: Bacterial small subunit ribosomal RNA
Source: RNAcentral
UGAGUAACACGCAUCCAACCUGCCGUCUACUCUUGGCCAGCCUUCUGAAAGGAAGAUUAAUCCAGGAUGGCAUCAUGAGUUCACAUGUCCGCAUGAUUAAAGGUAUUUUCCGGUAGACGAUGGGGAUGCGUUCCAUUAGAUAGUAGGCGGGGUAACGGCCCACCUAGUCAACGAUGGAUAGGGGUUCUGAGAGGAAGGUCCCCCACAUUGGAACUGAGACACGGUCCAA